Molecule: ribosomal RNA, 429 nt
Filed under: uncultured bacterium
Lineage: Bacteria
Description: bacterial SSU rRNA
Rfam family: Bacterial small subunit ribosomal RNA
Source: RNAcentral
UGAGGAAUCUUGCGCAAUGGGGGAAACCCUGACGCAGCAACGCCGCGUGAGUGAGGAAGGUCUUCGGGUCGUAAAGCUCUGUCAGGCGGGAAGAAAUGGAUGGAGGUGAACAGCCGCCAUGCUUGACGGUACCGCUAGAGGAAGCACCGGCUAACUCCGUGCCAGCAGCCGCGGUAAUACGGGGGGUGCAAGCGUUGUUCGGAAUCAUUGGGCGUAAAGAGCGUGUAGGCGGCUUGGUAAGUCAGAUGUGAAAGCCCUGGGCUCAACCCGGGAAGUGCAUUUGAAACCGCCAGGCUCGAGUAGGGGAGAGGGAAGUGGAAUUCCUGGUGUAGAGGUGGAAUUCGUAGAUAUCAGGAGGAACACCGGUGGCGAAGGCGACUUCCUGGCCCUAUACUGACGCUGAGACGCGAGAGCGUGGGUAGCAAACAG